This 664-nucleotide ribosomal RNA is filed under the name Sphingobacterium sp. 309-37. RNAcentral describes it as "SSU rRNA". It matches the Rfam family "Bacterial small subunit ribosomal RNA", at positions 58 to 719 of the family's 1533-position model. Lineage: Bacteria; Pseudomonadati; Bacteroidota; Sphingobacteriia; Sphingobacteriales; Sphingobacteriaceae. The record is from RNAcentral.
CAAGUCGAACGAUAGUUACCAGCUUGCUGGUGGCGAAAGUGGCGCACGGGUGCGUAACGCGUAUGCAACCUACCUUAAUCAGGGGGAUAGCCCGAAGAAAUUCGGAUUAACACCGCAUAAAAUCACAGCACAGCAUUGUGCAAUGAUCAAAUAUUUAUAGGAUUAAGAUGGGCAUGCGUGACAUUAGUUAGUUGGCGGGGUAACGGCCCACCAAGACCACGAUGUCUAGGGGAUCUGAGAGGAUGACCCCCCACACUGGUACUGAGACACGGACCAGACUCCUACGGGAGGCAGCAGUAAGGAAUAUUGGUCAAUGGAGGCAACUCUGAACCAGCCAUGCCGCGUGCAGGAAGACAGCCCUCUGGGUCGUAAACUGCUUUUAUUCGGGAAUAAACCUAUCUACGUGUAGAUAGCUGAAUGUACCGAAGGAAUAAGGAUCGGCUAACUCCGUGCCAGCAGCCGCGGUAAUACGGAGGAUCCAAGCGUUAUCCGGAUUUAUUGGGUUUAAAGGGUGCGUAGGCGGCUUUUUAAGUCAGGGGUGAAAGACGGUGGCUCAACCAUCGCAGUGCCCUUGAUACUGAAGAGCUUGAAUGAAUUAGAGGUAGGCGGAAUGUGACAAGUACCGGUGAAAUGCAUAGAUAUGUCACAGAACACCGAUUGCGAA